GAUGAACGCUGGCGGCGUGCCUAAUACAUGCAAGUCGAGCGAACAGAUGAGGAGCUUGCUCCUCUGACGUUAGCGGCGGACGGGUGAGUAACACGUGGAUAACCUACCUAUAAGACUGGGAUAACUUCGGGAAACCGGAGCUAAUACCGGAUAAUAUAUUGAACCGCAUGGUUCAAUAGUGAAAGACGGUUUUGCUGUCACUUAUAGAUGGAUCCGCGCCGCAUUAGCUAGUUGGUAAGGUAACGGCUUACCAAGGCAACGAUGCGUAGCCGACCUGAGAGGGUGAUCUGCCACACUGGAACUGAUACACGGUCCAGACUCCUACGGGAGGCAGCAGUAGGGAAUCUUCCGCAAUGGGCGAAAGCCUGACGGAGCAACGCCGCGUGAGUGAUGAAGGUCUUCGGAUCGUAAAACUCUGUUAUUAGGGAAGAACAAAUGUGUAAGUAACUAUGCACGUCUUGACGGUACCUAAUCAGAAAGCCACGGCUAACUACGUG
RNAcentral lists this ribosomal RNA (497 nucleotides) under uncultured bacterium. RNAcentral describes it as "partial 16S ribosomal RNA". It matches the Rfam family "Bacterial small subunit ribosomal RNA", at positions 28 to 507 of the family's 1533-position model. The record is from RNAcentral.